Molecule: non-coding RNA, 153 nt
Organism: Phoenix dactylifera (date palm)
Lineage: Eukaryota; Viridiplantae; Streptophyta; Magnoliopsida; Arecales; Arecaceae
Source: RefSeq, a predicted model, not a curated record
GCCAUUAUAUAAGCCGACUGACAUUGUAAAAGAUAUUCAUCGGGAAUAUGGUGUUCAAUUGCCGUAUCAUCAAGCUUGGCAUGGUAAGGAGCUGGCUAUGAAGGAGAUUUAUGGUGAUAGAUCACUAUCUUAUGACCAAAUUCGGUGGUAUUG